Molecule: ribosomal RNA, 440 nt
Filed under: uncultured bacterium
Lineage: Bacteria
Description: partial 16S ribosomal RNA
Rfam family: Bacterial small subunit ribosomal RNA
Source: RNAcentral
UCUACGGGAGGCAGCAGUGGGGAAUAUUGCACAAUGGGGGAAACCCUGAUGCAGCGACGCCGCGUGAAGGAAGACGUAUUUCGGUAUGUACACUUCUCUCAGCAGGGAAGAAAAUGACGGUACCUGACUAAGAAGCCCCGGCUAACUACGUUCCAGCAGCCGCGGUAAUACGUAGGGGGCAAGCGUUAUCCGGAUUACCUGGGGGGAAAGGGCGCGGAGGCGGUUUAGCAAGUCAGAAGUGAAAGCCCGGGGCUCAACUCCGGGACUGCUUUUGAAACUGUUGAACUUGAUUGCAGGAGAGGUAAGUGGAAUUCCUAGUGUAGCGGUGAAAUGCGUAGAGAUUAGGAGGAACACCAGUGGCGAAGGCGGCUUACUGGACUGUAAAUGACGCUGAGGCUCGAAAGCGUGGGGAGCAAACAGGAUUAGAUACCCCAGUAGUC